Molecule: ribosomal RNA, 612 nt
Filed under: Sargassum thunbergii
Lineage: Eukaryota; Phaeophyceae; Fucales; Sargassaceae
Description: SSU rRNA
Rfam family: Eukaryotic small subunit ribosomal RNA
Source: RNAcentral
CAGCAGCCGCGGUAAUUCCAGCUUCAAUGGCGUAUAUUAAAGUUGCUGCAGUUAAAAAGCUCGUAGUUGGAUUUGUGGCGCGGUCGUCCGGCGGGGCUUCCGGUUUCAUAGUAUCCCGGGGCCGUUUGUCUGGGUUCUUGGCCGCCCCAUUCUUCGGUUGCGUGUCGCUGGCAUUAGGUUGUCGGCUUCUUCGCGCCGAUCGUUUACUGUGAAAAAAUUAGAGUGUUCAAAGCAGGCUUAGGCCGUUGGAUACAUUAGCAUGGAAUAAUGAGAUAGGGCCACGGCGGUCUAUUUUGUUGGUUUGCACGUUGUGGUAAUGAUUAACAGGAACGGUUGGGGGUAUUCGUAUUCAAUUGUCAGAGGUGAAAUUCUUGGAUUUAUGGAAGACGAACUACUGCGAAAGCAUUUACCAAGGAUGUUUUCAUUAAUCAAGAACGAAAGUUAGGGGAUCGAAGAUGAUUAGAUACCAUCGUAGUCUUAACCAUAAACUAUGCCGACUAGGGAUUGGCGGUCGUUAACUUACAGGACUCCGUCAGCACCUUCCGAGAAAUCAAAGUCUUUGGGUUCCGGGGGGAGUAUGGUCGCAAGGCUGAAACUUCAAGAAAUGACGGG